UAACCCACCUCCGGGUGGUUAUAGAGUGGCGAACGGGUGAGUAACACGUGACCAACCUACCUCUCACUCCGGGAUAACCCAGAGAAAUCUGCGCUAAUACCGGAUACUCCGGGCACCUCGCAUGGGGAGCCCGGGAAAGCCCCGACGGUGGGAGAUGGGGUCGCGGCCUAUUAGAUAGUUGGUGGGGUAACGGCCUACCAAGUCGACGAUAGGUAGCCGGGUUGAGAGACCGAUCGGCCACAUUGGGACUGAGAUACGGCCCAGACUCCUACGGGAGGCAGCAGUGGGGAAUUUUGCGCAAUGGGGGAAACCCUGACGCAGCAACGCCGCGUGCGGGAUGACGGCCUUCGGGUUGUAAACCGCUUUCAGCAGGGAAGAAAUUGACGGUACCUGCAGAAGAAGCUCCGGCUAACUACGUGCCAGCAGCCGCGGUAAUACGUAGGGAGCAAGCGUUAUCCGGAUUUAUUGGGCGUAAAGCGCGCGUAGGCGGCCUGUUAAGCGGAAUCUCUAAUCUGAGGGCUCAACCCCCAGCCGGAUUCCGAACUGGCAGGCUCGAGUUUGGUAGAGGAAGAUGGAAUUCCCAGUGUAGCGGUGAAAUGCGCAGAUAUUGGGAAGAACACCGAUGGCGAAGGCAGUCUUCUGGGCCAACACUGACGCUGAGG
This 662-nucleotide ribosomal RNA is filed under the name uncultured Actinomycetes bacterium. RNAcentral describes it as "bacterial SSU rRNA". It matches the Rfam family "Bacterial small subunit ribosomal RNA", at positions 70 to 751 of the family's 1533-position model. Lineage: Bacteria; Bacillati; Actinomycetota; Actinomycetes. The record is from RNAcentral.